AUAUUAGCUUAGUUGGUAGAGCAGCUGACUCUUAAUCAGCAGGUCGUAGGUUCGAUCCCUACAUAUC
This 67-nucleotide transfer RNA is filed under the name Bacillus massilinigeriensis. It matches the Rfam family "tRNA". From Rfam's summary of the family: Transfer RNA (tRNA) molecules are approximately 80 nucleotides in length. Their secondary structure includes four short double-helical elements and three loops (D, anti-codon, and T loops). Lineage: Bacteria; Bacillati; Bacillota; Bacilli; Caryophanales; Bacillaceae. The record is from RNAcentral.